Molecule: ribosomal RNA, 700 nt
Filed under: uncultured bacterium
Lineage: Bacteria
Description: bacterial SSU rRNA
Rfam family: Bacterial small subunit ribosomal RNA
Source: RNAcentral
AGUGGCGGACGGGUGAGUAACGCGUAAGAAUCUAACUUCAGGACGGGGACAACAGUGGGAAACGACUGCUAAUACCCGAUGUGCCGCAAGGUGAAACCUAAUUGGCCUGGAGAAGAGCUUGCGUCUGAUUAGCUAGUUGGUGGGGUAAAGGCCUACCAAGGCGACGAUCAGUAGCUGGUCUGAGAGGAUGAGCAGCCACACUGGGACUGAGACACGGCCCAGACUCCUACGGGAGGCAGCAGUGGGGAAUUUUCCGCAAUGGGCGAAAGCCUGACGGAGCAUCGCCGCGUGAGGGAGGAAGGUCUUUGGAUUGUAAACCUCUUUUCUCAAGGAAGAAGUUCUGACGGUACUUGAGGAAUCAGCCUCGGCUAACUCCGUGCCAGCAGCCGCGGUAAUACGGGGGAGGCAAGCGUUAUCCGGAAUUAUUGGGCGUAAAGCGUCCGCAGGUGGUCAGCCAAGUCUGCCGUCAAAUCAGGUUGCUUAACGACCUAAAGGCGGUGGAAACUGGCAGACUAGAGAGCAGUAGGGGUAGCAGGAAUUCCCAGUGUAGCGGUGAAAUGCGUAGAGAUUGGGAAGAACAUCGGUGGCGAAAGCGUGCUACUGGGCUGUAUCUGACACUCAGGGACGAAAGCUAGGGGAGCGAAAGGGAUUAGAUACCCCUGUAGUCCUAGCCGUAAACGAUGGAUACUAGGCGUGGCUU